GUUCCUGCGGGAUCGGUUCCCAUCAUCCAAUACCUCCCACCAGACUCCACUUCCAUCAUUGGAGGUCACAUUUCAACUAAGAUUUGGAGGGGACCGUAUCCUAACUAUAUUAACUUCCAAUUUUCAUCGAAAGCCCACCUGUCUAAGAAGAGCUCCUAGACAUUCCCUUUCCCCUUCAACUUGGAGGAAUUGGGAAUGACAAAGAGAAAUUAAUCAAAAGAAGAAUUAAUCUCUCCAAUCAGCCUUGGCAUUUUCUUUCUAUCUUUGAUAUGUUGUUUUUUACAGUGUCUUGGUUUUCAGAAUAAGCUGUUUGUAACUACUUCCUCCACUAUAUUGUGAGCCUCUGGAGGGCAAGGUCUGGGCCUUACUCAUCUUUGAGUAAUUUUAAAGCCACUAAAUAGGGCUCUGCACAUAGUGAGAAUUCAACAUAUGCUUAGUUGAAUCUAAUAUUUCAGAAAAAGUCAACAUCUAUUCUUUAAGAUAGCCCACAGCAGGCUGAGUGUGUUAUUCGUAAAUCCAUUGGCCAGCGUCAUUUCCUCCAAAGUGCAGCAUUUUUGAUAGAACCAAAGGCUCAUGACUGACCUUCAGAAAGACAUUUUGUAUUUCACCAUCAAAGAGUGGUAUGGGUUUUAUUAGACUUCCGUAAUCCAGGUCUCGUUUCUCAGGCAACUCUGAAGCGUAUCACACUUUAUCUGAGAGGGUCACAAUUAGUGAAGGAAGGAAUUGGCCUUUGCAAGUUUGUGUUGCUCACGAACUUAUUAAAUUGCUUGAUUUUUUUUUUUCUUCCUAGCUUUGAUAGAUUGACUUUGCCUCUUUUACUGCGUGCAUAGUGCCAUCUUGUGGCCAUAAAGCAUAUAACACUCAUAGUUAUGCCACAGUGCUUCUGUUCCAUCUUAUUUCUGUAGUCCAGAGGAUCUCUUAAGUGUAGAAACACAUGGAUUAUUACUAGCCAAGGCCAUCACUGGCCAAGCCCAUCUAAAAGCCAGAGGCAGCAAGCAGUGCCCGUUGAAACAUCCAUAAAAGAAAGUCAGAUUUAAUGAUCUGAAAUGUCUCAUUUUUAGGUGAUAUUUGGUUAGCAACGUCCUACUGUAGACAUUUUGAUGUGGUGGUGAUUGGAAUAUGGUCUGCAGAGAUCAACCAGAAUUAGCUCCAUGUGCCACUGGGAGUGGGAACUGAAGUCACGCAGGAAUAAACCAGUCUUCAUGCUUUAGGAUGUUCUGAUGUGCCAUUGUCGUGAAAUCUUCAUUCAUGAGACAUUCCAGUUUACCGGCAGUGUCGACUAGAAUAUGCUACAGCCCCCAAAAUACGUUUUUAGUAUAAGGAUUAUUUUGAGCUGAUUAUUUUGAGAAAUAGCAGACGCAGGAGAAACUCUGAAGACAGAACGCAAACUUCAGCUAGUGUCUUGAAUUUAAGUCCCAAAUCAUCUAAGAAGCGGUCAUCUAGCUCUCCUUCAAUAAAACUGCAACAACCAAUAGAAGCAUUCAGCGAUUCAGUUUCUUCCUGAGAAUAAACCAGAAGGCAAUCUUUGGCUGUGUGAUUUUCAUCUUCCUCAGUGUUAUAUAUCCUCUGCCUCUCCUACGGAGCUCAUCCCUACCAAGCCUGCUCCUGCAGAGGGAUGCAACUUUCCGACCCACUGACAUCUGUCUUGGUCAUAUGACUUGCUUUGGUCAAUGAAAUGUGGUGUAAAAAGGUGGAGGCUUUGAGAGCCAUUGCCUGGUUCUGCCUUGUUCUUUUCUUUGGGUCACAAGGACGGCAGCUUCCCAGGUACAAUCUGCUCUCUCAGUGUGCAUCUUGAUAUGAAGACAUCAUGAAGGAAAGCAGAGCUGACUGACUGGCAAAAACAUAACUGUGGAUAGAACCCAAAGAGAAAACAAAGCCCAAACAGUCUCAGCUCCUUUACUCUAUGCGACCAAUGGCAUUUCAACCUCCCUCUACAGUUUGAUACCUUCUUCUAUAGUUACAGAAUUCUUAACUUUGUUUUGACCUGGAUCCAUGGCCACCCAAAAUAAAGACUAUAUUUCUAA
This is a long non-coding RNA of Homo sapiens (human), 2024 nucleotides long. Ensembl annotates it as DSG2 antisense RNA 1. Its record names the gene DSG2-AS1. Lineage: Eukaryota; Metazoa; Chordata; Mammalia; Primates; Hominidae. The record is from Ensembl.